CUCUGGUAAAGUGAGCUUCAUCAAAUUGCAGGGUUUCCUUCCUUCCCAAUGUCCGGUUACUUCGUCUCUGAGGAGCCCGACACUCGUGCACAGUUCCUCUCAGUCCCUGUUAUACUUUCAUGUGAAGGGUAGAGAUGGAUCUCAUGCCUCCGCAGUGACCCAAGCCACAGCAGAACUCUGAAUCCUUAACCCACUGAGCCACAGGGGACCUCCAGUACAAAGUUUAAAAUGACUAACAUCAUGGAAAUUGGUUUUAAGUCGAUGUGCUGUGAAACUUACAGGUAAUAUAAGAACUUGAAUAAUGAUUCAGUUUUGCUGAAUAAAUUUGCAGUUUUCAUGUUCCUAAAACAUUUCAUUAGAGUAAUGUUAGGGUUUUUUAAAUAAUUAAACUAGUAGAAGUUUAGGAAGUUCAAAUCAAUUAUUCUCUCAGUAAGGAAACGAACUUGAUUAAAACACACAAUUGUAUUAUAUUUUACAGUGAAAAAAUACUUAGUUGAGGUUUUUUGUUUUGUUUUUUAGCCAAACAUUAAAAGAAUAUCAUUUGCCUAAGAUCUGGUUUAGUUAUUUGAAAAUGGAUUUCUUCUAUACUAGAAAUUUCUGUAAGAAGGAUUUUUUUUUUAAUCUUGCACAUUUAAAAGUUUAUUUUUUGAAUUUUAGGACUAGAUUUAUGUGAGUGUGUAGUCAUCUUGAUAAGUGUUGGGAAGGAAGAAAUUUUUCUUUCCUUCUAGGUUCUUCUGGCUGGCCUAAGAAUUAAAUUAACGUGAAUAGAGAAAAUUAAACAAAAAACUUAACAUGUACAUGGGAGAGACUCAGGAAAAUCAAUGUCCCCAAAUGUUUGAAGGAAAAUCAAUGUCCCCAAAUGUUUGAAGCCUUCACACUAAAUACAUUCUCAGAGUUCCUGCUGUGGCUCAGCAGGUUUAGAACCUGACAUAGUGUCAGUGAGGAUUCAGGUUCAAUCCCUGGCCUCACUUAGUGGGUUAAAGAUCCAGUGUUGCUGCAAGCUGUGGUAUAGGUCAUGCAGAGGUUGCAGGUGCAGCUUGGAUCGGGUGUGGCCGUGGCUGUGGCCUGCAGCUGCAGCUCUGAUUCAACCCCUAGCCCAGGAACUUCCAUAUGCCGCAGGUGCAGCUGUAACAAGAAAAUAAAUAAUAAAUACCAUUCUGAGCUAGAGACUAAAGAGGAUAUUGGGGUUGGUAGUCUGUUCUGGGAGGUCACCAGGAAGAGCACAGUGAACAAGGGUAAGAUCGUUAAGCAGAUUUAAAUCAAUGCUUUCUCUGUUGAUAACUGUCAUUAAUUACAAAAGGGUAGGUAAUUCCGGAGUUCCCGUCACUGAGCAGCGGAAACAAAUCCAACUAGGAACCAUGAGGUUUCAGGUUCAAUCCCUGGCCUCCCUCAGUGGGUUAAGGAUCCAGCGUUG
This 1414-nucleotide long non-coding RNA is filed under the name Sus scrofa (pig). Its description in RNAcentral is "lncRNA (ENSSSCG00060006248.1)". The record is from RNAcentral. Lineage: Eukaryota; Metazoa; Chordata; Mammalia; Artiodactyla; Suidae.